GUAUCUUGACCUCGCAUCCUCUCAGCCUACUUUUUACUCCAGCGAUGGUUGCAGCAACUAGCCGUAAAUAGCCAGGUGUAAAUAGCCAGCACUUUGCCUUGCCUAUAUCAUGCACAUUUUUUUCUUUUCUCCAGUGCUUUUUAUGAAGUGUCUAUAAGAACCACCCAAAAUGUGUGACCUGAAAGUGUGAGGGAGUUAAGAACCACAGGGGGCAACCUUUGAGCAACAGGAGCCUAAUGACAGUAGUGCCACGUUCUUAUUGAGGAUCAUAUUCCAAUUUGUAUUUAUGCAUAUAAGUGGCUGUCUCAUGCUUUGCUUUCUGGAGGUAGUGCUGGUCGGUGGGGACUCAGGGUCACAAUGGAAGAAUUCCAUCUGUGUGGCAUGCAGCUUAUUACGUAGUAAAGGAUGACAUCUAAGGAUGCACUAAAUUCUGCCUUCUCAUUUCCCUACUUUGAGAAGAAAGAAACUGAAUGAUUGGAAAGACUGUGCUAUGCUUUCCUUUUGCAGUCCCACCUAGCAGACAAACAACCCUUGUUUCUUCUAGGCCAGUUUAUCAAACAUUUUUCACUUUAAAAAAUAGACUUAAGCAAAGAACAAGGCUAAAGCAUAGUUCAUGGGAGAAAAAAAAAAGUCUUCAAGUAAAGGGAAGUCAUGACCACUUAGUGUAAAAUACUGUUUACAGAAUCAUAAAAUAGAAAGAUGC
Molecule: non-coding RNA, 703 nt
Organism: Vicugna pacos (alpaca)
Lineage: Eukaryota; Metazoa; Chordata; Mammalia; Artiodactyla; Camelidae
Source: RefSeq, a predicted model, not a curated record